This 495-nucleotide ribosomal RNA is filed under the name uncultured bacterium. RNAcentral describes it as "partial 16S ribosomal RNA". It matches the Rfam family "Bacterial small subunit ribosomal RNA", at positions 28 to 507 of the family's 1533-position model. The record is from RNAcentral.
GACGAACGCUGGCGGCGUGCCUAAUACAUGCAAGUAGAACGCUGAAGGAGGAGCUUGCUUCUCUGGAUGAGUUGCGAACGGGUGAGUAACGCGUAGGUAACCUGCCUGGUAGCGGGGGAUAACUAUUGGAAACGAUAGCUAAUACCGCAUAAUAGCAGUUGUUGCAUGAUAACUGUUUGAAAGGUGCAAUUGCACCACUACCAGAUGGACCUGCGUUGUAUUAGCUAGUUGGUGGGGUAACGGCUCACCAAGGCGACGAUACAUAGCCGACCUGAGAGGGUGAUCGGCCACCCUGGGACUGAGACACGGCCCAGACUCCUACGGGAGGCAGCAGUAGGGAAUCUUCGGCAAUGGACGGAAGUCUGACCGAGCAACGCCGCGUGAGUGAAGAAGGUUUUCGGAUCGUAAAGCUCUGUUGUAAGAGGAGAACGAGUGUGAGAGUGGAAAGUUCACACUGUGACGGUAUCUUACCAGAAAGGGACGGCUAACUACGUG